Molecule: ribosomal RNA, 253 nt
Filed under: uncultured bacterium
Lineage: Bacteria
Description: partial 16S ribosomal RNA
Rfam family: Bacterial small subunit ribosomal RNA
Source: RNAcentral
UACGGAGGGUGCGAGCGUUGUUCGGAAUUACUGGGCGUAAAGCGCGUGCAGGCGGCCGACUAAGUCAGGUGUGAAAGCCCGGGGCUCACCUCCGGAAGUGCGCUUGAAACUGGUCGGCUAGAGUACGGGAGAGGGAAGCGGAAUUCCUGGUGUAGCGGUGAAAUGCGCAGAUAUCAGGAGGAACACCAAUAGCGAAGGCAGCUCGCUGGGACGGUACUGACGCUAAGGCGCGAAAGCGUGGGGAGCGAACAGG